Molecule: ribosomal RNA, 451 nt
Filed under: uncultured bacterium
Lineage: Bacteria
Description: partial 16S ribosomal RNA
Rfam family: Bacterial small subunit ribosomal RNA
Source: RNAcentral
GAUGAACGCUGGCGGCGUGCCUAACACAUGCAAGUCGAGCGGCAGCGAGGGGUGCUUGCACCCUGUCGGCGAGCGGCGGACGGCUGAGUAGCGCGUGGGAACGUGCCCCAAAGUGAGGAAUAACUGCCCGAAAGGGUAGCUAAUACCGCAUAUUAUCUUCGGAUCAAAGGAUUUAUCCGCUUUGGGAGCGGCUCGCGUCGGAUUAGGUAGUUGGUGAGGUAACGGCUCACCAAGCCGACGAUCCGUAGCUGGUCUGAGAGGAUGACCAGCCAGACUGGAACUGAGACACGGUCCAGACUCCUACGGGAGGCAGCAGUGAGGAAUCUUCCACAAUGGGCGAAAGCCUGAUGGAGCAACGCCGCGUGCAGGACGAAGGCCUUCGGGUUGUAAACUGCUUUUAUAAGUGAGGAAUAUGACGGUAACUUAUGAAUAAGGUUCGGCUAACUACGUG